Mustela erminea (ermine) is the source of this 1587-nucleotide long non-coding RNA. RefSeq lists it as uncharacterized. NCBI's taxonomy places the organism in Eukaryota, Metazoa, Chordata, Mammalia, Carnivora, Mustelidae. The record is from RefSeq and is a predicted model, not a curated record. The transcript is spliced from 3 exons.
CAGAAGCCAUACUCCUGCGAUCGCUCUACUCCCCUCCCCCAAUCCUCAAAUAACUUCAGCUUUCACCAGUCCUGAAGGCAGGGCUUCCCCUCUUUUACCAACAAAUACCUUUUGACAAAGUCAGGACUAGACCAAAGGCUGAAAAUAUGAGAGGGCCGUCGUGAGGAGGGACCAGGUCCAGGAUGUUGAGGAGAGAUGGAAAGCCACCCCCACCCCACCCCUCCUGAGGCCUGGUGUUCUGGUUCUCUCUGAGGUCCCACAGAUCCAGCCUUAAAGUAACUUUUGGAGAAGAGGACUUGGGUGCCCCCUCCACCUUUCCUGUCUGCAUGAUUCCCUGGGUGCUAAGUGUCAAGACUAAGGGCAAAGGAAGAAUUAGAGUCGUCAGAACUCAGGAGCAAAUUUGCAUGGAGACCCCUCUUGCGUCUCAAAACACACACAGGGGAUAAGAGAGCCUUGAGCGUCCUGUCCAAGUAUUGGGGUCUCAGGAGGCAGAUCUCUGGGCUGUCUUCACCAUGGCCUUGGCUCCACAUCCCUCCCCCUCCUCAUUUACAGCACAGGUGACCCCAAGAAAGAGGUCACGUGGUUGUGUGGACUGACACUUCUGACCCUUUUCCCAGGUUCACCUGGGCCACCCUCUCUCCAUUUCUCCUUCCUUUCUGGGUCCUGGGCCCCGUCUGCCCUGACCCAGCCUCCCUCCCAUGUGUGGGACUUUGAGACAAAUCAUUGCAUCUCUUACAGUGGAAACAGCAGCCACACUGGAACUUAUAACCCUGUCUUCUGGCACCAAUGAUGUCUGGAGCAGCCCUCACACUCCAGACAGAUGCUGUGAGCUCUCUGCCUUCAGGGCUUCCAGUUCUAUUCUCAGGCUCCAGGGUUGGGAACACAGCCUCCUUGACCAUCUCUGGAUUGCAGUCCGAGAGCGAGGCUGAUUUUCACUGAUUGUUGGAGGACAGCCAGAGCAUUUAUCUGCAGGGCUCCAAGCCCAAUGGGAACUAAGAUUAAAACCUGUAUUAAAUACUCAGCGUUUCAGAGCUUCACACCAACCAGACAGCCAGGCUAUGCUUUCUGUUGUCCUUUCUGCUCAUCACCCCAAGGGCAUAGGUGCUUCAGGAAAGGGACCCAUACAACUCAUUUUGCUCUUUAUGAUGGUGUGGGAGAAACAGUCUCCCAGGGGACACAUAGCUUUGCAAAAAUGAAAAUAAAAGCUCCUUUCUUCCUCUGUGGCCUUGGGAUGCAGACUCUGUUACCUCCUUCAGUGGCAACAUCAGGGGAAGAACAAGGGCUUCUCAUUGGGCUGAAACAGUUCAGAGGCCACAUCACCUGAAGACAUCUCUCUGUACCUCAAUGCGGAUUGAGGCACUCCGGCACCCAGCGACACAGGUCUCCAUCUUACCUGUCUCUAUGUGGAUUGGACCAAAGUGACACAGACGGUCCAGUUACUCCAGUAAAUGUUCAAAGAUGUUUUCCACAUGAAAAAAGCUUUGGAGGAUUCUCAGUAAUUUUUAAGAAUAUGAGAAGUUUCUGGAAACCAAAAAUUUGAGAACUACUGACUUCGGACAGUUGUUUACAAAACAAUAAAAGUACGGC